ACAUCCUGCAACAACAAAAACAAGAAUUUAUCCUUAGAUCUAAGUAUUGAUAUGAUCACUAAUAAAAAAUACAUAAUGCCUUUAAAGAAAUUUACACAAUGAUCAUUGAACUGAUUUAGGGAGAACUAAUGAAUCCAUUUAACAAAGAGAAUUGACAAUGCAUUUGUCGGACCACGUCAAUGAAAUCUCAAGCUCAACUUUUCUGAAUUGAUUGAAAAUAAAGAGUGGCAUAGUACAAGCUUGAUAAAAGAAUCAAAUUGAUUGUCAAAAUUAAUGGAGUCGCUGACUCUAUU
This 293-nucleotide unclassified non-coding RNA is filed under the name Hevea brasiliensis (rubber tree). Lineage: Eukaryota; Viridiplantae; Streptophyta; Magnoliopsida; Malpighiales; Euphorbiaceae. The record is from RNAcentral.